CCUUAGAUGUUCUGGGCUGCACGCGCGCUACACUGAAGCUAUCAACACGUUUUCCCUCCCUGAGAAGGGCGGGUAACCUUUUGAAUCAGCUUCGUGGUAGGGAUCGGGGCUUGCAAUUGUUCCCCGUGAACCAGGAAUUCCUAGUAGACGCGAGUCAUAAGCUCGCAUCGAUUAAGUCCCUGCCCUUUGUACACACCGCCCGUCGCUACUACCGAUUGAACGUUUUAGUGAGGCAUUUGGACCGACGCAUCUCAGUUUAACCGCUGGUUUGUGUUGGAAAGACUUCCAAACUUGAGCGUUUAGAGGAAGUAAAAGUCGUAACA
This 323-nucleotide ribosomal RNA is filed under the name uncultured eukaryote. RNAcentral describes it as "partial 18S ribosomal RNA". It matches the Rfam family "Eukaryotic small subunit ribosomal RNA", at positions 1471 to 1796 of the family's 1831-position model. The record is from RNAcentral.